AUUGAACGCUGGCGGCAUGCCUUACACAUGCAAGUCGAACGGUAACGGGCCUUCGGGUGCUGACGAGUGGCGAACGGGUGAGUAAUGCAUCGGAACGUGCCCGGUGGUGGGGGAUAACGCAGCGAAAGCUUUGCUAAUACCGCAUACGAUCUGCGGAUGAAAGCGGGGGACCACAAGGCCUUGCUUGGCCGGGCGCGUCGGUGGCGGACGAGGUAGGUGUAGGGAUAAGGUGGGGUAAAGCCGUAACCAGCGGACGAGCUGUAGCCGGUCUGAGAGGACGACUAGGCAAACUGGGACUGAGAAACGGCCCAGACUCCUACGGGAGGCAGCAGGGGGGAAUUUUGGACAAGGGGCGCAAGCCCUAUCCAGCAAUGCCGCGUGCGGGAAGAAGGCCUUCGGGUUUUAAACCGCUUUUUUACGGAAAGAAAAGGCUCUGUCUAAAACCUGGGGCUGAUGACGGGACCGGAAGAAUAAGCACCGGCUAACUACGUG
RNAcentral lists this ribosomal RNA (492 nucleotides) under uncultured bacterium. RNAcentral's name for it is "partial 16S ribosomal RNA". It matches the Rfam family "Bacterial small subunit ribosomal RNA", at positions 29 to 507 of the family's 1533-position model. The record is from RNAcentral.